RNAcentral lists this ribosomal RNA (455 nucleotides) under uncultured fungus. Its description in RNAcentral is "partial small subunit ribosomal RNA". It matches the Rfam family "Eukaryotic small subunit ribosomal RNA", at positions 30 to 432 of the family's 1831-position model. Lineage: Eukaryota; Fungi. The record is from RNAcentral.
GCUUGUCUCAAAGAUUAAGCCAUGCAUGUCUUAGUGUAAAUAACUCUUAUGAAACUGCGAAUGGCUCAUUAAAUCAGUUAUCAAAUACGUGAUGGUCGCCUACUACAUGGAUAACCGUAGUAAUUCUAGAGCUAAUACAUGCACUCGAGCCUCGACCGAGGCCCCGGCAACGGGGUCGCGGAAGAGGUGCUUUUAUUAGAUCAAAACCAGUCGGGGAAACGAUCGCCGGGUCAAACCGGUCGGUCGCGGAACCGUACCAAUUUUGGUGACUCUGGAUAACUUCACGCCGAUCGCACGGCCUUCGCGCCGGCGACGUAUCUUUCAAAUGUCUGCCUUAUCAACUGUCGAUGGUAGGUUACGCGCCUACCAUGGUUGCAACGGGUAACGGGGAAUCGGGGUUCGAUUCCGGAGAGGGAGCCUGAGAAACGGCUACCACAUCCAAGGAAGGCAGCAGG